GAUGAACGCUGGCGGCGUGCCUAAUACAUGCAAGUCGAGCGAACGGACGAGAAGCUUGCUUCUCUGAUGUUAGCGGCGGACGGGUGAGUAACACGUGGAUAACCUACCUAUAAGACUGGGAUAACUUCGGGAAACCGGAGCUAAUACCGGAUAAUAUUUUGAACCGCAUGGUUCAAAAGUGAAAGACGGUCUUGCUGUCACUUAUAGAUGGAUCCGCGCUGCAUUAGCUAGUUGGUAAGGUAACGGCUUACCAAGGCAACGAUGCAUAGCCGACCUGAGAGGGUGAUCGGCCAAACUGGAACUGAGACACGGUCCAGACUCCUACGGGAGGCAGCAGUAGGGAAGAUUCCGCAAUGGGCGAAAGCCUGACGGAGCAACGCCGCGUGAGUGAUGAAGGUCUUCGGAUCGUAAAGCUCUGUUAUUAGGGAAGAACAUAUGUGUAAGUAACUGGGCACAUCUUGACGGUACCUAAUCAGAAAGCCACGGCUAACUACGUG
This 497-nucleotide ribosomal RNA is filed under the name uncultured bacterium. RNAcentral describes it as "partial 16S ribosomal RNA". It matches the Rfam family "Bacterial small subunit ribosomal RNA", at positions 28 to 507 of the family's 1533-position model. The record is from RNAcentral.